Molecule: RNA transcript, 1958 nt
Organism: Zingiber officinale
Lineage: Eukaryota; Viridiplantae; Streptophyta; Magnoliopsida; Zingiberales; Zingiberaceae
Gene name: DNA repair protein REV1-like
Exons: 9
Source: RefSeq, a predicted model, not a curated record
GCGGCGCCCAUUUCCCCAUCAGUAACACCGCCGCCUGGCCUCCUCCUCCUCCACCACCACCACUGCCUACUCCUCCUUACCCUUCGGAAUGGCGACGUCAAGAUCUUCGCUAUCUCCAUGGACAGCGACCAGAUCCGAUCCCGCACGGACCAGGAACCCUAGAGAAUUCGGUCGUCGCGGUGCUAAGAAACCCCCUUUCGCACACCCCGGAAGCUACAUGGCGGUGAAAAGCCAAAAGCUUCGGGAGCAAUUCGAUGCUAGUGCGGUCUUCCGUGGCCGGCUCGGAAGCGGGAAGGGCAUUUUCUUUGGUAUCUCGAUCUUCGUUGACGGAUUCACGAUCCCUUCCAGUCAGGAUCUCAGAGCUUGUAUGAUGAUUCAUGGUGGUCGGUACGAGAAUUACUUCUCGAGGCGCUCUGUAACGCAUAUCAUUUGCAGCCAUCUGCCUGACAGCAAAAUGAGGAACUUCAGGGCAUUCAGUCGAGGGCUUCCAGUUGUAAAACCUGCUUGGGUGAUUGAAUCUGUGGCGGCUAAUAAGCUUUUGAGCUGGGUUCCUUACCAGUUAAAUGAGCUUGAGAAUGGGACUCAUAAGCAACAAAAGCUGUCUUCCUUUUUUACUUCUAAGAGCGUGUCAAAUCGGAGGGAUGAAAAAACCACUAUAGCUCUUAGUUCACUAUCUACCAGAAGGCCGUUGUUACUAAAGAAUGAAAAAAUGAAUCAGUUGAUAGUUGAUGAGCAAGGUGAAUGCUCAACAUAUAGAGAAGCUAUGUUUAAUGGAACGGAAAAGUUUUGUGAGGUGGAAUAUGAAGCACCAAGUAUUAAUGAUAUGAAAGAAAAGCAUAAGGGAAUAGAGAUGGGACAGAGUUUUGCAUGUGUGAACAAAGUAAAGCUGAAGGAACAAUUAGAUAAUCCAUACAAUGGACCUUGCAAUCAGCAGCAGGAGGGAGCAAACGAGGACAACUUCCAACAAAUUCAGACUUGUACGGCAUCUUAUUCGAGGCCAGAUGAUUUACACGCAGAUGCUCAUGAUGAUAAUCAUUUAGAUAUGAUACCUCAGUCUCUUAGUCAGUUAGAUUACUCCGUGCUUGAUCAGCUACCUAAAGAAUUGAAGGCUGAUAUUCUUGCAUCACUGCCUCCACACAGAACCCAUCAUUAUCCUGGAAAUGACCCCAGCACUAGUGAGAAGGAUAUGCCCUCUAACCCAGAUGAAAAUCCUGGAAAUUCUAAUAUGUCUAUGUGGAUAGGAACUCCUCCAAGUUGGGUUGAGAAGUUCCAACAUAGUAAUUGUUUCGUCUUGAACAUUAUGGCAACACAGUUUGCCAGAUCUGAUACAAAUGGCCUUCUUUCUCUGACACUCCAGUCCUUGAGUCCUUUUCUACCUUCAUUUUCUGACUUAAGUUCAAUGGAAUCAGAGGAAAUGAUUUGCAGCUUGGUUGAGCUUUUCAAGCAAUAUAUUAAGCUGAAGAUUGAAUCAGAUAUCGAAGAGUUGUAUGUUUGCUCUCGGAUUUUAAGAAGGUUUGCAACAGAUUUCAAGUUCCUAUUUCAAGUGUAUGACCUGAUCCUUCCUACUCUUCAGGCUUCUAUUAGCGAGUACUAUGGGGGAAACUUUAGUCUUCCUUUCGACAAAUAACAAGCCCUUUGAAGUUGAUGAUUAUUUUUCACACAAAUGUGAAUUCUUCUACUUGCAAUUGGUUUUAUAAUAUUCAUGGUACAAGUCAGAAGAAUAAUUGUAAUUCUAAGCAUCAAUAACAGGGAAGAUCUUCUUAUGUAACUUUAUUUAUAUCGAUGACAAUCAUUUAUGGAUACGAAUAAGCAAUAUAACAAUGCCCUCUAAGCAAUGGCAUAGUAGUAAGACGUCUCCUCAGUUUUUUAGAAUUGUAAGAUCAAAUUUUAAUUUUGAUGAAUUAAUGUAUAAAUUUGUUUUAAUGAACGGUUGAUCUAAGAAAACUGGGUGUGAGCGU